RNAcentral lists this long non-coding RNA (3445 nucleotides) under Salmo salar (Atlantic salmon). RNAcentral's name for it is "lncRNA (ENSSSAG00000091538.1)". Lineage: Eukaryota; Metazoa; Chordata; Actinopteri; Salmoniformes; Salmonidae. The record is from RNAcentral.
AUUAAAAGCAUUCUCUCAGUCACAGACACGGUACUUAUUAUGUAGUUUGUGAUCGUCUGUUUCUCUGAAACAUUGCGUUAUUCACCCCUGAUCUGGCUCGUCAUCUGUUUUGAUCAUCCUCCUUUGCUAUCUUCCUCAGCCCAGUCUGACAGUGAUUCCUGCAGUCAUCAAAGAGAGAGACUCAGUUCAGCUGAACUGUCAGACUCCAUCUGUCUCUGAGUGUUACUUCAAAAUGGAAGGGCAAGUGGAAUUCACCCUACCAUCACCCUGUCAACAUGAACUCACAGGAACACUACUGGUGAGGUGGACAGGUCAGAGUUCACCAGCUGAGGUCAAAAUACAAUGUCAGUACAGUGCUACAGGUUCACAGUUUAGAUCCAUGUUCAGUGAGCCUUCAACAGUCACAAUUCAGGACAUUCCUCAGCUGACAGUGAGUUCUACAGUCAUCAGAGAGACAGAAUCAGUUCAGCUGAGUUGUGAGACUCCUCCAUCUCGCCAUGUGUCUAACUGUUACUUCUACAUAGAGGUGGGGAAGAAUUUUCCAGGGUCAUUGUGUACGCAGACAAUAACAGGAACUGAGCUGCUGAAGAGGGCAGGUCCAACAUUUCCAGCUGUGGUCAAAGUGAAAUGUUACUAUGCUGUAGGGAGGUCUCACACAUCUCCUUUAAGUAACCCUGUCUCAGUCACUGUUCAGGAUCCAAAACCAGACAUUACAGUCCAAUUUGAUGAGGACUUCACCAUCAUCUGUUUGAUUCCUGGAUCGGUCAGUCCUGACAGCACCUGUAACCUGUAUGUUGGAGAGGAGAGUCAGCCAUCCUUCACAGCAAAGACCAAGAAGAGACAAUCCACCUCAGCACCCAGACAGGAGUUCUGUCAAUUCACUCCAAAUCAUAGUGAUCUGAUCAGUGGUCUACAGUCAGUGAGGAGUAAGGAGGUGAGCUGUGAUUACAGAGUGAGCUCUGGACCAAACUCUCUCUCUCCACGCAGUGAUGGGUACAGCUUUACAGAUCUGGUGGGAGUUCACAUCAGUGAUCCAACAACUGUACAGACACCUUCUAUAGCAGUGGGUUUGACUCCAGGUCCUAGAUCUACUUUGCCUCCCAGCAAGACAGUGAGUCCUACAGAAGUUUCAACUGUUACUUCUACCUUUACCCCAGACACCACAGUGACACCAACUACCAGGUCGACUGUUUGCUGUACUUUUACCACUGACACCCCAGCGAGUCCAACUGAAAGAGUUCAAAGCUCCACAGAAAGUGAUGUGGAAUCAAACAGUCAAGAAAGCAUUCUGGUGGGGCAAUUAUGGCAGGCAGCAGUGGCUUCUGGAGUGGGCGUGCUCCUGGUAGGAUUGACAGCUGUCAGUCUCUGCAGGAGGACCAAGAAAACCAAUUCUCAGAGACCUACAGCCAGACAGGAUGAUCACAGACAAUAUGAAUUGGUGUCUAUGGGAGCGGUGAGCAGAGGAAUCAUGGUGGAUUCAGGAGAUGCUGGAAUCGAUUCUCAGAUCACUUCUGUACUGUUCACGUUCACGCCCUCAGGUAACGUUGAUGUGGAUACACAGGCAUUUGCAAAUAAACAUGUAAGUACAGCACAAAUAAUUGCAUGGAGUAUUCUUAUAUCGGUUGUACUAUUCAUUGUAUUAUAUUGUUAUAUUAUUAUUAUUAUUUAUAGCAUUGUUUUCACAGACAGACGGACUCGAGGAUACAAGUAUCUCUCUUUCUCUCACUGUGAUUUGACUUUCAGUUUAAGAUUGGUCUUACAUCCUCAUAAAAUACCCCUUAUGAAUUACAUUAACUGUACUGUAGAUUCGAAGCCCUAAAGUGAAUCUGUUUCUUUCCUCUAGUCUGACACUUACCAUGUAUACAGCUCAAUCCCCGACAGACCAGCAACCUCAGCCCAGCCGGAUGGGUUGUACAGUCUUCUGCAGACACACUGACACUACACCUCUGGCUUUCUGUAGCUAUGUCUCACACAAAUACAUUCUAUCUCACACGACAUCCAUUGUUUAUCACACAUCCAGUUACUGUAAAUAAGUUGCUUAACAGGUAAUAUAUCUACUGUAUUACACAUAGACAACUGGUUUCUGUUACAUGUCUAUCCAUAAUAUCUGUUACUGUGUUAAUAUAUAUAUAUAUUAUUUUUUAGGGGUCCAGGGGCAUAGUCCCCUUUGAGCAUUUUUCUUAUUUCUUUCCCCUAGUUAAUGCUAAAUCUACUGUAUUUAUGUAUUUUACGUUGACUGUGUGAUACCUCCUUCCAUAGCGGUUGGAUACAAUUAAUUUCCUGUUGGGCAAAACAUAAUCCAAAACACAACCAAAACAAACUGCAAAUGCAUCCAACAAGUUUGUUGAGUCACAAGCUUGAUGUAUUUAUUGGGUGCAAAGAAUCAAGGACCAAAAUACAAAAUGUUUGACUACCUUAAUACACUAUAAAUGAGUUUGUCCAAAUACUUGUGACUUUUUCAAAUGUGGGGACUAUAUAGAUAAAGUGCAUUUAUAUCAAAACGGUAAAACAUACAAUGCCUUCAGAAAGUCUUCACACCCCUUGACGAUUUCCACAUUUUGUUGUGUUACAGCCUGAAUUUAAAAUGUAUGAAAUUGAGAUUUUUUUUUGUAACUGGCCUACACACAAUACCCCAUAUCGGGGUGGCAGGUAAUCCAGUGGUUAGACCGUUGGACUAGUAAUCGAAAGGUUGCAAGAUCGAAUUCCCGAGCUGACAAGGUAAAAAUCUGCCGUUCUGUCCCUGAACAAGGCAGUUAACCCACUGUUCCUAGGCCGUCAUUGAAAAUAAGAAUUUGUUCUUAACUGACUUGCCUAGUUAAAUAAAGGUAAGGUCAAAGUGGAAUUAUGUAAAAAAAAAAAGAGUGUCAUUGAGUAUUUAACCCCUUUGUUUUGGAAAUCCAAAAUAAGUUCAGAAGUAAAAUUCUGCUUAACAAGUCGCAUAAUAUGUUGCAUGGACUCACUCUGUGUGCAAUAAUAGUGUUUAACAUGAUUUUUUAAUGGCCUCAUCUCUGUACCCCACACUUAUAAUUAUCUGUAAAGUCCAUCAGUCACGUAGUGAAUUUCAAACAUAGAUUCAACCAAAAAAACAGGGAGGUUGUCUAAUGCCUCACAAAGAAGGAAACUUAUUGUUUAAAAAAAGCAGACAUUGAAUAUCCCUUUGAGUAAGGUGAAGUUAUUAAUGGAUGGUUUAUCAAUAUACCCAGUCACAACAAAGAUAACGGCAUCAUUCCUAACUUAGUUGCCGAAGAGGAAGAAACCUGCUCAGAGUUUUCACCAUGAGGCCAAUGGUGACCUUAAAGCAGUUACAGAGUUUAAUGACGCUCAGCAGCACCUUCUCCACGCUGCUCUUCGUCGUCCUUCUCGCCUUCCUGUGGAGGAACUGGGAGGUCAUCUCGCAGUACCUGGAUCCCCUCCUGAUGUCCCCGAGUCGACCUACACGGGUGGG